This is a long non-coding RNA of Scylla paramamosain (green mud crab), 2838 nucleotides long. RefSeq lists it as uncharacterized. The record is from RefSeq and is a predicted model, not a curated record. The transcript is spliced from 5 exons. Lineage: Eukaryota; Metazoa; Arthropoda; Malacostraca; Decapoda; Portunidae.
UCUUUUGUUUGUUGUUGUUGUGAGGGAGAGAGCAUUUCUGUCGUCUAUACACAAAACUUUCCAUUUCACUUACAAGAUGGUGAAAAGAACGAACCUUGCUUAUUAUACACGGUUUUUAACGCUAUAACACUUCUUUACUUGGAUUUUACUCUCAAAAACUAUGACUGUGUUGGUGAUAGAACCCUGGCAGGAAGAGGUGACGUUGCCUUGGAUAUUCAGAGUGAGGGAGACUGGCAGAAGACACAAGGUUCGGAGGCCUCCAGAGAGCUGCCCAGAGUGAAGCUUGUGGUAUAGAGGAACAGCUGCUGAUCAUCAAGCUUACGGAAUGACUGGAGGAAAGUGGGAGGAGCCUGGAGGGAGUGGUGGAGAUACCAGGAUAUGUGACCACCACCACCACGCUCACCACCACCACCACCACCACCACCACCACUACCACCACCACCACCAUUGGAGAUGCCCCUCUGUAGUUGCACAUUACGGCCCUGUUGUGUACCCUGGUGGCCUUCAUAGUUGACCGCUGAGUGCAGCUGUCGGUGACUGCAGGAAUGGACCUCAGAUGGCGGACACAACAGCAUUACCAAGUCAAGAAGUUGUCCAGUAUUUUAUCUCUGCUCUCAAACAAGCAAUGACCAGUGGUGGUGUUGUUCAUGUCUGGCUUGUGUGUGUGUGUGUGUGUGUGUGUGUGUGUGUGUGUGUGUGUGUGUGUGUGUGUGUGUGUGUGUGUGUGUGUGUGUGUGUGUGAGUUUGUUCAUCCAUUAUGAUUUGAAGAGAUUGUGUUUGUAUUUUUAUUGUGGGACUCUGUGAUUAUACUUUGAAAUGAUACGGCCUUAAAAUUGACCUUUGACCCUGUGUGGUAGUGGAGUGAGGCUUGUGACAGUUAGGAAUUGGUUGUCAAAAAGUGACCACAUUGGUUUUUCCUCAGUUGCUUUAGCCAUGAAAGUUCUAUUCCUUGUGUUCUUUGUCAUGAUGAUGUUUGAUUCCCUUGGUUUCCAAUUGGUUGCCUUUGUGUGAGUUUUGAUCCAGUCAUUUACUUCCCUACUUACUGAAUUCCAGGAAACAAAGGGAUUGCUUGCUCCUUUUGCUUCCUUGUGGACAAAUUCACUGCUAAUAGUUUGUUAUUUGGAAGUUUGAUUGAAGGCUUGUUCCUCCCUCUCCUCCACCCUAUGACUACUUGAUGCUAUCUAGUAAAAUUCUUCACAAUGAUGUUUUCCAUGCCUUCGCUGCCCUAAACCCUUGGAAAGCUUGGAGGGGGUCCCUCCUCUUGUUCUUCAAAACUGCAUUUCUGUGCUUGCACCUUGCCAAGUCAAACUCUUUCAACUCUGUGUGUCAACAUGUAAUAAUAUUACUUCUUGCUGGAAGUUUGCCUACAUUCAGCCUGUUCCUGAAAAGGGUGACCAUUCUAAUCCCUCAUACUACUGUCCUGUUGCUUUAAUUUUCUGCCUAUCUGAAGUUUUUGAAUUUAUCCUCAAAAGGAAGAUUCUUAAACAUCUAUCACUUGACAACUUUCUAUCUAAUUGCCAGUAUGUGUUCCAUAAUGGCCAGACAAAAGAAAACAUGUGUUCAGUGGCUUCAGCCACCACCAAUGGUCUCUCUUUUUAAGAUUUCCUGCUUAACUAAUGUUUAAGUAUCUCAUUACAAAGAUAAGAAUAUAGAUAUCAUAAAGAUGGUUAUUUAUAUUGAUUAGCAUAUUAGCAUUAUGAAUGUUCCUGUUCAUAUGAUUAUAACUAUCAGCAGAAAAAAUUGUAUAACAUGUGUCAUUCAUUUACUUGAAGCUGCAUUGUCAAGGAAGCUUGAUACACUUUUCAGUGAGUGAUGUGUUUAUGUGCUAACAUAUGUGUGCUUGGAGCAUAAAAGAUAGUCUACACUAUAUUUUGACAAAUAAACAGUUGGUAUGAAAAAAUUACUUUUACCUACAGCACUUACUUAAUUUGCAUUUGGGCACCAUCUCUUUGAAAAUAGUCCAUUUGAGCAGCAAUACAGCAGCACAUUCAGCACUGUUGUCACCCCUGAAACUUAUUCUGGAAGUGUUGUUCUCUAAGCAUGUCAAGCAUCUACUGUUUGUGCAGAAUCAUCUCCACAAUGGACAGAAGAAGCAUCAGGCCAAAGUCUGUCAGGAAUUCUGUCAGCCAGCCAUGAAUGACCCAACCUUCAUGUCAAAGGACAUCUCUGGGAACAAAAUUUGGGUUUACAGGUAUAACCCCCUAACCCAAACAAGUCUUUACAAUAGAAGAGUCCAGCAUCUCCAUGCAGGGCAUGGUUCAGGUCUGGAAAACCACUAAGAGCAUUUUUAUUCAAUGUCUUUGAGAUUCAUAGGAUAGUUCAUCAUGAAUUCAUCCCCCAAAAAAGAUCAUCAACUGCCAGUUCUACUCAAGUGUUUUGAGGCAUCUGAGGACAUUAAUUUUGGCAGAUAUGGCUUGAAAUGUGGUGCAAGGCUAAAUGGAUGCUCCAUGAUGAUGAUGAUGAUGAUGAUGAUGAUGAUGAUGCACCCUCUCUUACAAAUUAUCUCUUAUAAUGCAUGGGCUUCUCAGAUGCAUGAUUAUCCCUUUGCAGCUGCCCUACUCCUCAGAUUUGGUACCAACCCUUGUGACUUGUGUCAUGCUCCCCACAUGGACAUUCAUUCUAUGGAAACAAUGAGAAAUUGAUCUCAAGAUGAGAUAAGUCUUUAGCCAUGACAAGUUGUAGCCAGCCAGGGAUUGAACCUCUCACUGAGAGAACACAAGGAUGACACCUUAGACAUUGAGACCAUGAUGACUGUCAGGUCCCAAGUUCAGUUUUAGGACAUUUAUACUCCUAAUCUCUGCACUUUUUUUUCCUGGAAAUAAUAAAGAUGCAGCUGAA